GUCAUUUCUCUCCAUAUGCUCAUCUGCAUGGUGAAAUAUAUUCGAAUAUAUGAUACUGUUUAAGCCAAAAAUAAGAAUAAAUAUAUAUUAAUCAUUAAAAUAUUUAUGAUAGAUAUGUGGACAGGUAAAUUGGCGCAAAUGAGUUCCGAAUAUUGGCGCAAUUGAUACAUUUGGAAAACAAAAUUUGGUGCAAAUGAUACCCCUGAAAUACAGUAAUUGGCGCA
Molecule: long non-coding RNA, 224 nt
Filed under: Mytilus galloprovincialis (Mediterranean mussel)
Lineage: Eukaryota; Metazoa; Mollusca; Bivalvia; Mytilida; Mytilidae
Source: RNAcentral